Molecule: non-coding RNA, 183 nt
Filed under: Syntrophotalea acetylenica
Lineage: Bacteria; Pseudomonadati; Thermodesulfobacteriota; Desulfuromonadia; Desulfuromonadales; Syntrophotaleaceae
Description: Pelobacter acetylenicus 6S / SsrS RNA
Rfam family: 6S / SsrS RNA
About the family: E. coli 6S RNA was the first non coding RNA to be sequenced, but its function was unknown until recently. It consists of 184 nucleotides that fold into an extended hairpin structure with a large single-stranded internal bulge. The 6S RNA specifically associates with RNA polymerase holoenzyme containing the sigma70 specificity factor.
Source: Rfam by way of RNAcentral
AGCUCUCUGCUCUGCAGGUGAGGUUCUGAUUGCCCCAGCGGUAUAAUUUUGUAAACGGGGAGAGCACGUAGGUGCUGUGUGCCAGCCCAACCUGGAUUGGGACGCCUGAUGCGCCUUCUGCGAUACCCACCUGUUCAGGACUCGCUUGGAGGCCUGAGAACCCACGGCAGCAGUGGAGAGCUU